Molecule: ribosomal RNA, 654 nt
Filed under: Eriocrania sangii
Lineage: Eukaryota; Metazoa; Arthropoda; Insecta; Lepidoptera; Eriocraniidae
Description: SSU rRNA
Rfam family: Eukaryotic small subunit ribosomal RNA
Source: RNAcentral
GCGAUACCGCGAAUGGCUCAAUAUAUCAGUUGUGGUUCCUUAGAUCUUACUCAGUUACUUGGAUAACUGUGGCAAUUCUAGAGCUAAUACAUGCAAUCAGAGCUCCGACCGGAGACGGGAGGAGCGCUUUUAUUAGAUCAAAACCAAUCGACGAAGGCGGCUCGCCGUCGACGUCGUUGUAUUAUGAUGAAUCUGGAUAACUUAUGCCGAUCGCACGGUCACGCACCGGCGACGCAUCUUUCAAAUGUCUGCCCUAUCAACUUUCGAUGGUAGUCUAUGCGACUACCAUGGUUGUAACGGGUAACGGGGAAUCAGGGUUCGAUUCCGGAGAGGGAGCCUGAGAAACGGCUACCACAUCCAAGGAAGGCAGCAGGCGCGCAAAUUACCCACUCCCGGCACGGGGAGGUAGUGACGAAAAAUAACGAUACGAGACUCAUAUGAGGCCUCGUAAUCGGAAUGAGUACACUUUAAAUACUUUAACGAGGAACAAUUGGAGGGCAAGUCUGGUGCCAGCAGCCGCGGUAAUUCCAGCUCCAAUAGCGUAUACUAAAAUUGUUGCGGUUAAAAAGCUCGUAGUUGCACCUGUGCGCCGCGCUGUCGGUGCACCGCAUCCGCGGUGACCACUGGCACGUCGCGGGGCAUCGCGUCGGUGAG